This 750-nucleotide ribosomal RNA is filed under the name Streptomyces albidoflavus. RNAcentral's name for it is "bacterial SSU rRNA". It matches the Rfam family "Bacterial small subunit ribosomal RNA", at positions 75 to 838 of the family's 1533-position model. The record is from RNAcentral. Lineage: Bacteria; Bacillati; Actinomycetota; Actinomycetes; Kitasatosporales; Streptomycetaceae.
CGCUUUCGGGCGGGGAUUAGUGGCGAACGGGUGAGUAACACGUGGGCAAUCUGCCCUGCACUCUGGGACAAGCCCUGGAAACGGGGUCUAAUACCGGAUAUGACCGUCUGCCGCAUGGUGGAUGGUGUAAAGCUCCGGCGGUGCAGGAUGAGCCCGCGGCCUAUCAGCUUGUUGGUGAGGUAGUGGCUCACCAAGGCGACGACGGGUAGCCGGCCUGAGAGGGCGACCGGCCACACUGGGACUGAGACACGGCCCAGACUCCUACGGGAGGCAGCAGUGGGGAAUAUUGCACAAUGGGCGAAAGCCUGAUGCAGCGACGCCGCGUGAGGGAUGACGGCCUUCGGGUUGUAAACCUCUUUCAGCAGGGAAGAAGCGAAAGUGACGGUACCUGCAGAAGAAGCGCCGGCUAACUACGUGCCAGCAGCCGCGGUAAUACGUAGGGCGCAAGCGUUGUCCGGAAUUAUUGGGCGUAAAGAGCUCGUAGGCGGCUUGUCACGUCGGUUGUGAAAGCCCGGGGCUUAACCCCGGGUCUGCAGUCGAUACGGGCAGGCUAGAGUUCGGUAGGGGAGAUCGGAAUUCCUGGUGUAGCGGUGAAAUGCGCAGAUAUCAGGAGGAACACCGGUGGCGAAGGCGGAUCUCUGGGCCGAUACUGACGCUGAGGAGCGAAAGCGUGGGGAGCGAACAGGAUUAGAUACCCUGGUAGUCCACGCCGUAAACGGUGGGCACUAGGUGUGGGCAACAUUCCACGUU